This is an RNA transcript of Dipodomys ordii (Ord's kangaroo rat), 2779 nucleotides long. It is a transcript of the gene named BAI1-associated protein 2, with no coding region annotated. The transcript has 15 exons. The record is from RefSeq and is a predicted model, not a curated record. Lineage: Eukaryota; Metazoa; Chordata; Mammalia; Rodentia; Heteromyidae.
AGACCAUCAUGGAGCAGUUCAACCCCAGCCUCCGCAACUUCAUCGCCAUGGGGAAGAACUAUGAGAAAGCCCUUGCAGGUGUGACCUUCGCUGCCAAAGGCUACUUUGAUGCCCUGGUGAAGAUGGGAGAGCUGGCCAGUGAGAGCCAGGGCUCCAAGGAACUUGGAGACGUCCUCUUCCAGAUGGCUGAAGUGCACCGGCAGAUCCAGAACCAGCUGGAAGAGAUGCUGAAGUCUUUUCACAACGAGCUCCUCACACAGCUGGAGCAGAAGGUGGAGCUGGACUCCAGGUACCUGAGCGCAGCACUGAAGAAAUACCAGACGGAACAGCGGAGCAAGGGCGACGCUCUGGACAAGUGUCAGGCCGAGCUGAAGAAGCUCCGGAAGAAGAGCCAGGGCAGCAAGAAUCCACAGAAGUACUCGGACAAGGAGCUGCAGUACAUUGACGCCAUCAGCAACAAGCAGGGUGAGCUGGAGAGCUACGUAUCUGAUGGCUACAAGACAGCCCUCACCGAAGAGCGCCGAAGGUUCUGCUUCCUGGUGGAGAAGCAAUGCGCCGUGGCCAAGAACUCUGCUGCCUACCACACCAAGGGCAAGGAGCUGCUGGCCCAGAAGCUGCCGCUGUGGCAGCAAGCCUGUGCCGACCCCAACAAGAUCCCAGACCGGGCCGUGCAGCUGAUGCAGCAGAUAGCCAGUAGCAACGGUGCCAUCCUCCCCAGCGCCCUGUCGGCCUCCAAAUCCAACCUGAUCAUCUCAGACCCCAUUCCUGGAGCCAAGCCCCUGCCGGUGCCCCCAGAGCUGGCACCAUUCGUGGGGCGGAUGUCUGCUCAGGAGAAUGUGCCCGUCCUGAAUGGCGUCGCAGGCCCGGACAGCGAGGACUACAACCCCUGGGCCGACCGCAAGGCUGCCCAGCCCAAAUCCCUGUCUCCCCCGCAGUCUCAGGGCAAGCUGAGCGACUCGUACUCCAACACACUUCCCGUGCGCAAGAGCGUGACCCCGAAGAACAGCUACGCCACCACUGAGAACAAGACUCUGCCACGCUCGAGCUCCAUGGCAGCCGGGCUGGAACGCAACGGCCGCAUGCGAGUCAAGGCUAUCUUCUCCCACGCGGCGGGUGACAACAGCACCUUGCUGAGCUUCAAAGAAGGCGACUUCAUCACCCUGCUGGUGCCCGAGGCCCGCGAUGGCUGGCACUACGGCGAGAGCGAGAAGACCAAGAUGAGGGGUUGGUUUCCCUUCUCAUACACCCGGGUCCUGGACAGCGACGGCGGGGACAGGUUGCACAUGAGCCUGCAGCAGGGCAAGAGCAGCAGCACUGGCAACCUCCUGGACAAGGAUGACCUGGCCAUCCCCCCUCCCGACUACGGCACGUCCUCCCGGCCCUUCCCCACGCAGACUGCCGGCGCCUUCAAGCAGAGGCCCUACAGCGUGGCUGUGCCCGCCUUCUCGCAGGGACUGGAUGACUACGGAGCCCGGUCUGGGAGCAGCGGCAGCGGCACGCUGGUGUCCACAGUGUGAGGAUGUGAGCCGGCAGCCGCUCCGAAGAGCCCCUCCCCCGCCUCCGUCGGUUUCCCUCAGCUCGCGUUGCGCCGAUGUGGAAGUGGCCAGAUUUUGAGCUGCCUCUGACUAGAGUUAGAAUCCCUUCGCCAACAUCCAGCUGAAGCCGACAGUGACCAAUGACCGGUCCGCCCCCUUCCUCAGCUGAGGGCCACGCCUGUGACGCUGCUGUUCCCCACCGCCUGCCAGAGCGUCGCACCCGUGUUCCGGUUCAGAGAACCGCCUGCCAGCCCUCCACCGCACGGCUCUGGCCCCAGCCUGCCCGCUGCUGGACCCUGACUGCUCCGGGGGCAGUCCCUGGCAGGCCCCAGGUGGAAGCCAAAGGAGAUGCCCAGGCCUGCUGGCCACGGGUCCUCCCCGGCAGAGGGGCUGGCUCUUGGGCGGGCACCGUCCAUCCAUGGCUCGGGAGCACUAUGUGUUGGAGCACAGGAGACUCAGCUUGCCGUGGGAGCUUCCACUCCCACACAGCUGUUCCAUUUUGAGACAGGGUCUCUCCAUGCAGUCCUGACUGGCACUGAACUCUGGAUCUUCCUGACUCAACCUCCCAAGGGUUGGGACUGUAGGCCUGAGUGUGCCGGGCUCACACUGCCUUGAGCUCCCCCUCUGGUCAAUAAAUGGGCACUUGAGCACACAGUGUGAUCUGUCGGCCGGGGGCUGCGGGAGUGCUGGAGGUUCCCCUCACCCUUAACCUCCCUUCAGACCCUGUCCGCUGUGCCUGACCAGCUCGGGCUCCCCGGCUCCCACCAGCCCCAGCCCCAGCAGGCACUGAGUGCUCAGCGGGCAGCUGCCACGGCCUGGACCGCCAGCGCAGGUCCUCCCCCGGGGCCUGCCUGAGGAUGGCCCGUCCAGCUGCCCCCGGCAGGGCCUUGGGCCUGAGCUGAAAUGCCAGACUUCACCGCUCCUCGGGUCUCAUGUGCAGCAGCACGAGGUGAGCUGAGCUGGCGGUAGCAGCCCCGCCCCGUGGAGAAUGCCAGGCAGUGCGCCUUUGUCAGACUCAACCACCUGCUCCUGCUCCUGCUCCGCACCCACGGCCACCAGGGCCCAGGCAGCACAGCCCCGCACACAGCAGGAAGGCAGAGGAGCCCAGACUGGGCCUUUCCUACCACCUACUACUCUACUGCUAGGCAGGGACAGACGCAGCCCCUGGCAAGGGCAGGGGCAGAAGAGCAGCUGCCAGAGGGAGGUCCGGGUCCACCUCUUCCUCUGGCCUACACAGGACCAUU